Long non-coding RNA from Planococcus citri (citrus mealybug), 1049 nucleotides. RefSeq lists it as uncharacterized. Lineage: Eukaryota; Metazoa; Arthropoda; Insecta; Hemiptera; Pseudococcidae. The transcript has 3 exons. The record is from RefSeq and is a predicted model, not a curated record.
UUUUUGAAAUUUUCUUGGAAAAAUUAUUUUGACUAAUUAUUUUAUCACGAAUACUUUAAUUUUAUUUUAAUAGAUCGUAUUAUUAUCCUUUAUUUUAUUGAAAUUUCAAGUUUCUCACUUCUACUUUAUUCAUUCAAUCCAUUUGUAUUCUAAGUCAAAUCAUUCUUGUAGCUUUUUUCCUUAUCAUUCGCACCCUCCUCACUCCUCCAGUUCGUUGACAAAUAGAUAAGCUUUCAUUUCACGUGCAUAAAAUUUCUCAAUUCAAAGUAGAAAGACUACCUACAGCAGAAACUUUGAUCAUUGAUCAUGUUCAUGUGUCAUUCUAAUGUACCUGAUUUCAAUCCAGCGACUUCUGCGGUACAACAAAUGGACAUCUAUUCAAAAAAAUACGAGGACUUGUCAUCACUGGCGAAUAAAUUAUUCGAAGAUCUAAAAGCUUGUGCCGUGCGAUAUAAACUUGACGAUGAUUUAAAAAUUUAUCGUUUUAUGAUUUUGAAUAUACUGAAAGAGUUCUACAAUAUUGAUUGGAACUUCAACGAUAUUACUUUUACUGAACGACAAUACACUUUUACUUAUGAAACGAUUGAAUUCUGGUUGCGUUUUGAAGAUGACUUCAAAAUGUGUACGUUGUCGGCUGUUCGUCACUCAAAAGGUGCUGUAAUAGGAUGUCGUCAAUUUGACGUGGUGAUCAAUGUUGGUGAUGAUGAGCAAAUAACGCUCUUCCAGCCGUCUCCCAGAACACUUCCCGAGUGUAGAGCGCUUUUGAUUGAAAUUUUGAGUAAAUUCCACAACGAACUAUUAGAUGAGAUUAUUUGCAAUGGAUUGUUCAAUCCUACUACUAAUCCAUCGUGAAGAUUGAAGAUCCAUGAGUUCAACCGGGUAUCAAGAAAAUGCUAACAUUUUCUACCUACCUCGCAUACCUAUUAUUGGAAGUCUAUGAAGAUUCAAUUUGGUAGCCUACAACACUGAAGUACUCAUCAAGGAUAUAAAACGAUUAGAAACUUAGUACAGAAACGUUUGUAUUUUAAUAAAAAUUGAUUAAUUAAUGA